RNAcentral lists this long non-coding RNA (1507 nucleotides) under Apteryx owenii (little spotted kiwi). Its description in RNAcentral is "lncRNA (ENSAOWG00000011982.1)". Lineage: Eukaryota; Metazoa; Chordata; Aves; Apterygiformes; Apterygidae. The record is from RNAcentral.
CUGCUCGCUCCGUCCUGGACCACACUGCUCUCUCAUCCCGAUGAUGCUGAUCUGACUUUGCAGUUCCCGCAAAUACCUGGACAUCUGGCUGGAGGGCAGCCUCAUCCUGCCAGUAUUGCAGUUUUGGGGCGCUGGGCUUGCCAUCAUGGUGCAAGACAUUGCAAGGAGACCCCUGAGGCUGUGUCUUUUACUCUUGCCUGUGUCUUGAGAAAAGCGGAAAGGACAGCGACGGGGGGAAGAGUGCAAUCUGCUCUUGAUGUGUCCUACGCAGGGUUUUUAAGAGGUAGGAAGGAGGGGAGUUUCACUCCAUCUGCCCUUGAGCUGAUGGUUAUUGCAAUCUCAGCCCUUCACUCCUCAGAGGUGCCCGGACCCCCGCUGGACGCUAUCGUCCCCAUCCGACUUUUCCCCGCUCCACUUCCAGUGGGGAACUUCCUGCUCCGCUCCCUCCACAGCCCAAUUAGCUGUUUGCUUAACGUACUGCAAACCUCACUUGAUAAGUUUGCCUAAUUGCUUCACUUAAGUUAAUUACUUCUUGGCUGAACAAGAAAGCAACAUAAUUGAUGUCAAGGCAUAUUUGUCACUUCGAUUAAUGUCCUGGGAGCGGGGAGCUUCGUGCUCUCCCCUUGCCCUUCCUGCCCGCCGCCAGCCCCGGGUACCAGGUCAGGGAUCGGAUCUGCUCCCUGCAGCUCCCGCGCAUUGUGGGAGAGCGGAGGCAGGUGCUGAGCCCCGCGACUUAGCCCUGCCAAGUGCGUUUUUCCCUCUUGAAGCACUGGGAUAACACGCGGAGGAUUUGCUGGGCUGUGCGAGCGGCAGUGGGACAGGAAUGACCGAUGGGGAGGCGGUGGGAGAUGCACUGGUGGGGAGCCCACGUCCCUCCAAAAGCCGCAGACGGCUCUCGGCGCGUGCGGAGCCCUUUGCUGGCACUGCCUUGGGUCUUCCCAUGUGCUCGCAAUCCCAGGGGACCCCGGCAGUGUCUUGUCUCUUUGGGGAGAGGCGAUGAAGGACGUGAACAGCCACGUGGGCUUAAUAAGAGUCUGUCUUUGAACUAGCCCAAGAAAUGCAUACAAACCAGACCAUUCCCCAUGGAAAAUCAGGGGUUUGGGGACAAGUGGCUCUGUAGGAGCAGGCUGCAAUACGCAGGCAAUGCUUCCUCCUUCCCCCUCCCUCCAGCUGGCCCUGGGAGCAGGUAGCAGCUUCCAGAUACCCGUGAUAAAUCCCUUUACGCAGCAUUGCCUUCCUUGCUGACGCGUGGAGCAGGAGAGGUGACGGCUAAGGUGGUACCCAGUGCCUCAGUAAGGCGGGCGAUUACCCGUGCUGCGGGCAUCGGACACCUCCUGCAUUAACCUGUUGAUGGGGAAAGAGAUACCUGCAUGGCUCCUGCACGGCUCCAGCCCGGCCUGGAUGGAGAGCAGCUGAACGGCAUCCCCGGGAGAGUCACCUGCCGGAUCCAGAUCAUACCCCUGCAAGACUUAAAACGGCCUCCGCUCUGGCUGCACGCAAGCUAGCA